CACAGGUUAAGAGCAAACCAGGAAGAAAUGAUCUUGAGACCUGUAACAGCUAACACGUACUGAGUGCUUCCUACAUGCCAGGAGGUCCUGAGGAGGAGACUGAAGCACGGAAAGGCUAACUAAUCUCCCUGAGGCCACACAACUAGCCUGUGGCAGGGCUGGAAUUCAUCUGUCUGCUCAUCCUGGGGGUAGUGACCACAUCAGCUUAUCAGAAUGCUUAGCUCUGACUAGAGGCCAGCAAGGCCCUGAGGAAACCUGACACAGGAUGAAAGGACAUGGACGAAAAUAUCCAGGACAGGACGUCUCUUGGAGGAGAGGGUCCCAGAGUGACGCGCCAGCAUGCGAGGAGGAUCCCUGACCUGGAAGUUAAUCUUCCCAAGGACACCAGCAGAAAAUGGACUCAAGGCCUUUAACAUAGAGAACAACAGCA
This is a long non-coding RNA of Fukomys damarensis (Damara mole-rat), 430 nucleotides long. RefSeq lists it as uncharacterized. Lineage: Eukaryota; Metazoa; Chordata; Mammalia; Rodentia; Bathyergidae. The transcript has 3 exons. The record is from RefSeq and is a predicted model, not a curated record.